GGCGGCAUGCCUACACAUGCAGUCGUACGGAGAGUGGGGCGACUCACUCUCAGUGGCAAACGGGUGAGUAACACGUGAAUAACCUGCCUUUGAGAAGGGGAUAACUGUCCGAAAGGAUAGCUAAUACCCUAUAUUGCCUUUUGUCACUAAGGCAAAAGGUGAAAGCGAGGCUGUCAAAGGCUUCGGCUCAAAGAGGGGUUCGCGUCCUAUCAGGUAGUUGGUGGGGUAAUGGCCUACCAAGCCAAUGACGGGUAGCUGGUCUUAAAGGAUGAUCAGCCACAGUGGGACUGAGACACGGCCCGCACCCCUACGGGGGGCAGCAGUGGGGAAUCGUGGGCAAUGGGCGCAAGCCUGACCCCGCAAUGCCGCGUGAGGGAAGAAGCCCUUCGGGGUGUAAACCUCUGUCAAAUGGGAAGAUGGGACUAGGGGCUAAUACCUCCUAGUCUUGACGGUACCAUCAAAGGAAGGGACGGCUAACUACGUGCCAGCAGCCGCGGUAAU
RNAcentral lists this ribosomal RNA (501 nucleotides) under uncultured bacterium. RNAcentral describes it as "bacterial SSU rRNA". It matches the Rfam family "Bacterial small subunit ribosomal RNA", at positions 38 to 524 of the family's 1533-position model. The record is from RNAcentral.